GAUACUUGUGUGGGUGAUUAGCGUCGUCUACUAGUAACGAAGGAUUGCUGACAAAUCGAAUUGUGGAUAGAAGGUGCGUACACAAAAGGCAAUAAUAA
Long non-coding RNA from Octopus sinensis (East Asian common octopus), 98 nucleotides. RefSeq lists it as uncharacterized. The record is from RefSeq and is a predicted model, not a curated record. The transcript has 3 exons. Lineage: Eukaryota; Metazoa; Mollusca; Cephalopoda; Octopoda; Octopodidae.